ACAACUAAAGGUACUAAAACUGGGCCUUAGGAGUUAGAUAGCUCAGCAGUCAAGAGCGCUGACUGCUUUUCCAAAGGUCCUGAGUUCAAUUCCCAGCAACCACAUGGUGCCUCACAACCAUCUGCAAUGUGAUCUGAUUCCCUCUUCUGGUGUGUCUGAAGACAACUACAGUAUACUUACAUACAUUAAAUAAAUAAAUAAAUAAAUAAAUAAAUAAAUAAAUAAAUCUAAAAAACAAAAACAAAAACUGGGCUUUGGAAAACAGCCACAUUUAAAGGCUGGAUGGAGGGUGGGCCAAGAAAAGAGAUAUGGCCAGAGAGAGAAGAGAACAUCCAAACACACUGUCUGAGGAACCAAGGAGGGCUUCAGAGUGCAUGAGAAAUAAGAGCAAAUGAUACUGAGGCUUUCCAUGUGAUAAACAAGUAAUUGAAGAUGUCUGGGCUCAGUGGCAUGGAGGUUAAGUGACCUUGGAAAGAUCAGUUUGGUGGAAUAAGUGAUGGGAGAAGCCAGACUGAUGUUUUUGUUGCUAUGUAGUUUGCUGAGUAAUAAGGCAAUAACAUGCCUAUUUUGGGGUGAAUAAACCAGCGUAUUACAUAUAAGGUUGACACUAAACUUUUCUAUGAUUCAGAUGAGUAAACUAAAUCCUGGAGUUACCAGUGUCCCUGAUUAGUAACUGUUCAAAGUCCUCCGCAAACUACGUGUUGGCUAAAUAAAAAUAAUUAUCAGGC
Molecule: long non-coding RNA, 728 nt
Filed under: Mus musculus (house mouse)
Lineage: Eukaryota; Metazoa; Chordata; Mammalia; Rodentia; Muridae
Description: long non-coding RNA chr2:80633737-80634465
Source: RNAcentral